GACGUAGGGCGCAAGCGUUGUCCGGAUUUAUUGGGCGUAAAGAGCUCGUAGGCGGCUGGUCGCGUCGACUGUGAAAUCCCACGGCUCAACUGUGUGGUCUGCAGUCGAUACGGGCUGGCUGGAGUUCGGUAGGGGAGACUGGAAUUCCUGGUGUAGCGGUGAAAUGCGCAGAUAUCAGGAGGAACACCGGUGGCGAAGGCGGGUCUCUGGGCCGAUACUGACGCUGAGACGCGAAAGCGUGGGGAGCGAACAGG
RNAcentral lists this ribosomal RNA (254 nucleotides) under uncultured bacterium. Its description in RNAcentral is "partial 16S ribosomal RNA". It matches the Rfam family "Bacterial small subunit ribosomal RNA", at positions 524 to 776 of the family's 1533-position model. The record is from RNAcentral.